This is a long non-coding RNA of Cercocebus atys (sooty mangabey), 218 nucleotides long. RefSeq lists it as uncharacterized. Lineage: Eukaryota; Metazoa; Chordata; Mammalia; Primates; Cercopithecidae. The record is from RefSeq and is a predicted model, not a curated record. The transcript has 3 exons.
UCUUUGGCAUUAUAAUUUCAGGUACUACUGCAAGCAGGAAGGAUGAGAAGGAGAAAGAAGAAAUUCUUUUCUUUGUAACUCCUGGGGCAAAUGUUGACCUGUGAUGUCUCUCUAUAUUGUGUAGCCCACAAAGGAUAUACAAAAGGAGGCCCAUGUUGAUUCAGAGGAUGAAUGAGAGGAACUAUAGAGUUUGCUUCGUAGAUCAAAGGAAAGAUGAG